GAACUUAAGCAUAUCAAUAAGCGCAGGAAAAGAAACCAACAGGGAUUACCUCAGUAACGGCGAGUGAAGCGGUAAUAGCUCAAAUUUGAAAUCUGGCCUCUUGGGGUCCGAGUUGUAAUUUGUAGAGGAUGUUUUGGGUACCGCCCCGGUCUAAAUUUCUUGGAACAGAAUGUCAAAGAGGGUGAGAAUCCCGUCUUGGACCGGCGGUAGGGCCUGUGUAAAACUCCUUCGACGAGUCGAGUUGUUUGGGAAUGCAGCUCAAAAUGGGUGGUAAAUUUCAUCUAAAGCUAAAUAUUGGCCAGAGACCGAUAGCGCACAAGUAGAGUGAUCGAAAGAUGAAAAGCACUUUGAAAAGAGAGUUAAACAGUAUGUGAAAUUGUUGAAAGGGAAGCGCUUGCAACCAGACUUGAGCGCGGCGGUUCCCCCGGUCUUUUGGCCGGGCUACUCCGUCGUGUCCAGGCCAACAUCGGUUCUGAGGGUCGGUCAAAGGCCUUGGGAAUGUAUCUACCCACGGGUAGACUUAUAGACCAGGGUGUCAUGCGGCCUCUCGGGACCGAGGAACGCGCUUCGGCUCGGAUGUUGGCGUAAUGGUUGUCAGCGACCCGUCUUGAAACACGGACCAAGGAGUUUAACAUCUAUGCGAGUGUUUGGGUGUCAAACCCGGAACGCGAAAUGAAAGUGAACGGAGGUAGGAAGCUUCGGCUGCACUAUCGACCGAUCCUGAAGUUUACGGAUGGAUUUGAGUAAGAGCAUAGCUGUUGGGACCCGAAA
Molecule: ribosomal RNA, 771 nt
Filed under: uncultured fungus
Lineage: Eukaryota; Fungi
Description: eukaryotic LSU rRNA
Rfam family: Eukaryotic large subunit ribosomal RNA
Source: RNAcentral